Molecule: ribosomal RNA, 357 nt
Filed under: uncultured soil bacterium
Lineage: Bacteria
Description: bacterial SSU rRNA
Rfam family: Bacterial small subunit ribosomal RNA
Source: RNAcentral
AGGACGAACGCUGGCGGCGUGCUUAACACAUGCAAGUCGAGCGGUAAGGCCUUUCGGGGUACACGAGCGGCGAACGGGUGAGUAACACGUGGGUGAUCUGCCCUGCACUUCGGGAUAAGCCUGGGAAACUGGGUCUAAUACCGGAUAUGACCUCCUAUCGCAUGGUGGGUGGUGGAAAGAUUUAUCGGUGCAGGAUGGGCCCGCGGCCUAUCAGCUUGGUUGGUGGGGUAAUGGCCUACCGAAGGCGACGACGGGUAGCCGACCUGAGAGGGUCGACCGGCCACGACGUGGGACUGAGACACGGCCCAGACGUCCGUACGGGAGGCAGCAGGUGGGAAUAGUGACACGAAGUCGGGA